AGUGAACGCUGGCGGUAGGCCUAACACAUGCAAGUCGAACGGCAGCACAGCAAGAGCUUGCUCUUACGGGUGGCGAGUGGCGGACGGGUGAGGAAUACAUCGGAAUCUACUUUUUCGUGGGGGAUAACGUAGGGAAACUUACGCUAAUACCGCAUACGACCUACGGGUGAAAGCAGGGGAUCUUCGGACCUUGCGCGAUUGAAUGAGCCGAUGUCGGAUUAGCUAGUUGGCGGGGUAAAGGCCCACCAAGGCGACGAUCCGUAGCUGGUCUGAGAGGAUGAUCAGCCACACUGGAACUGAGACACGGUCCAGACUCCUACGGGAGGCAGCAGUGGGGAAUAAUGGACAAUGGGCGCAAGCCUGAUCCAGCCAUACCGCGUGGGUGAAGAAGGCCUUCGGGUUGUAAAGCCCUUUUGUUGGGAAAGAAAAGCAGCAGGUUAAUACCCCGCUGUUCUGACGGUACCCAAAGAAUAAGCACCGGCUAACUUCGUG
This 492-nucleotide ribosomal RNA is filed under the name uncultured bacterium. RNAcentral's name for it is "partial 16S ribosomal RNA". It matches the Rfam family "Bacterial small subunit ribosomal RNA", at positions 29 to 507 of the family's 1533-position model. The record is from RNAcentral.